CCCUAUGGGGUGCAGCAGGGGAAGGAUGCACCCGCACCUGUGACCUUUGAUCUCAAGCCCUGAUUUCCCUGUAAGGCAGUAUUCCCGUCCCUUGUUCUUAAUAUCCAUAAUCAGGCCCUCCACAUGGGAAACAGACGUUGGAAACCCUUACUCUUUUGACGUGACUAUAGGGGGAUUAACUUUAGGUGUCAAAGGAAAAAUGUCCUUUGCUGGAGGGCAUUCCAAGAGGUUCAGGGUACACGGAACAAGCGGGUUAUCGUACGAUAACAAUUAUAUUUGACAUUUUUCCUUGAAGGUGUUCUGACAUUUAUUAUCAACAAUUUGUUGGAGGCAAUGGACAGUUUGAACGGGAUGGUCCCAAGGAAAAUAUAUUUUGCCGGAUCGAUCCGCGGCGGGCGGGGGAGC
RNAcentral lists this ribosomal RNA (405 nucleotides) under uncultured prokaryote. RNAcentral's name for it is "partial 16S ribosomal RNA". The record is from RNAcentral.